Molecule: unclassified non-coding RNA, 387 nt
Filed under: soil metagenome
Description: partial contains 5.8S ribosomal RNA, internal transcribed spacer 2, and large subunit ribosomal RNA
Rfam family: 5.8S ribosomal RNA (bases 1-120)
Source: RNAcentral
GAUGAAGAACGUAGCGAAAUGCGAUGAGUAAUGUGAAUUGCAGAAUUCAGUGAAUCAUCGAAUCUUUGAACGCACAUUGCGCCCAUUAGUAUUCUAGUGGGCAUGCCUGUUCGAGCGUCAUUAAUUCCACUUAAGCCCUGCUUAGUGUUGGGAAUCUACUCUAGUGGUGCUACCCUGGAGCUACCCCUGAAAGGGGGCUGGCCCGGUAGCUACCCUGUAGUUCCUCAAAGAUAGUGCGCGGAGUUGCGUGGUCCUCUGAGCUUAGUAACUAUACACCUAGCUUUUGAGUGUCCCGCGGCGCCUGCCGUUUAAACCCCAUCUUUUAAUGGUUGACCUCGGAUCAGGUAGGAAUACCCGCUGAACUUAAGCAUAUCAAUAAGCGGAGGA